AGGUGAUCGUGGUUUACCAGGACCUCCAGGUCCUCCAGGACACACUGGCUUGGAUGGGCUACCUGGACCAAAAGGUGAUGCUGGACCAAAUGGACAACCUGGCCCAAUAGGGCCACCAGGGCUGCCAGGAAUUGGUCUUCAGGGACCACCAGGACCACCAGGGACUCCAGGGCCAAUAGGCCAACCUGGCUUACAUGGAAUACCAGGAGAGAAGGGAGAUCCAGGACCUCCUGGGCUUGAUGUUCCAGGACUCCCUGGAGAGAGAGGUAGUCCAGGGCUCCCUGGAGCCCCUGGUCUUAUAGGACCUCCAGGAUCACCUGGUAUCCCUGGAAGAGCAGGUGUCCCUGGAUUUCCAGGUGUCAAAGGCGAAAUGGGUAUGAUGGGACCU
RNAcentral lists this long non-coding RNA (388 nucleotides) under Rattus norvegicus (Norway rat). Its description in RNAcentral is "long non-coding RNA NONRATT030679". The record is from RNAcentral. Lineage: Eukaryota; Metazoa; Chordata; Mammalia; Rodentia; Muridae.